CUCUCCUCCCCUCCCAUCCCCUCCCCUGAUCUCAGAAGUCAAGCAAGACCGGACCUGGUUAGGACUUAGGUGGGAGAGCACUGAGGCCUACUGGGUGCUGUAGGGU
Molecule: ribosomal RNA, 106 nt
Filed under: Nannospalax galili (Upper Galilee mountains blind mole rat)
Lineage: Eukaryota; Metazoa; Chordata; Mammalia; Rodentia; Spalacidae
Source: RNAcentral